This 460-nucleotide ribosomal RNA is filed under the name uncultured bacterium. Its description in RNAcentral is "partial 16S ribosomal RNA". It matches the Rfam family "Bacterial small subunit ribosomal RNA", at positions 338 to 795 of the family's 1533-position model. The record is from RNAcentral.
CCUACGGGUGGCAGCAGUGAGGAAUAUUGGUCAAUGGGCUAAGGCCUGAACCAGCCAAGUCGCGUGAGGGAAGACGGUCCUAUGGAUUGUAAACCUCUUUUGUCGGGGAGCAACGAGGCCACGUGUGGCCGAAGUGAGAGUACCCGAAGAAAAAGCAUCGGCUAACUCCGUGCCAGCAGCCGCGGUAAUACGUAGGGGGCAAGCGUUAUCCGGAUUUACUGGGGGUAAAGGGGGCGCAGACGGCGAUGCAAGCCAGGAGUGAAAGCCCGGGGCCCAACCCCGGGACUGCUAUUGGAACUGCGUGGCUGGAGUGCAGGAGGGGCAGGCGGAAUUCCUGGUGUAGCGGUGAAAUGCGUAGAUAUCAGGAGGAACACCGGUGGCGAAGGCGGCCUGCUGGACUGCAACUGACGUUGAGGCCCGAAAGCGUGGGGAGCAAACAGGAUUAGAUACCCUUGUAGUC